Molecule: ribosomal RNA, 329 nt
Filed under: uncultured eukaryote
Lineage: Eukaryota
Description: partial 18S ribosomal RNA
Rfam family: Eukaryotic small subunit ribosomal RNA
Source: RNAcentral
CCCUUAGAUGUCCUGGGCCGCACGCGUGCUACACUGACGCCUACAGCGAGUACUUCCCAGCCCCGAGAGGCGGCUGGUAAUCAGCAAUAGGCGUCGUGAUGGGGAUAGAUCUUUGGAAUUAUGGAUCUUGAACGAGGAAUGCCUAGUAAGCGCAGGUCAUUAGCCUGCGCUGAUUACGUCCCUGCCCUUUGUACACACCGCCCGUCGCUACUACCGAUUUCGAGUGGUCCGGUGAAGCGUUCGGACCGUGGCCUUUGGACGGUUCGCCGUCUGUUGGCUGCGGGAAGUUCGUUAAACCUUAUCAUUUAGAGGAAGGAGAAGUCGUAACA